This is a long non-coding RNA of Neofelis nebulosa (Clouded leopard), 502 nucleotides long. RefSeq lists it as uncharacterized. Lineage: Eukaryota; Metazoa; Chordata; Mammalia; Carnivora; Felidae. The record is from RefSeq and is a predicted model, not a curated record. The transcript is spliced from 2 exons.
GCCUUCUGUGUUGGGUUGGGGUUUUCUAGAAGCGUACGUGGAGUCGAAAACUCAGGCGCAAGUGAGUUUUUGAGGCAAGGCUCCAGAAGCCUCCCAGGAGAAACUAACAAGGAGAAGGGGAAGCAGGAUAGGGAAGAGGCCAAGCAAUGGAGGAGGCGUCAGGAAAAAGACUUUGGCGGCUACCCUGGAGCCCUCUUCUGGGCUGUUGAGGAGAAAUCAAAUGCAGCAGCCUCACAGGCCAGGGCCCCACCACGGCCUGAGGAGCCAUGUCUGUGUGCACAUCAAUUACAUAGGCCCCACCUGGGCAGGGAUUGGCUCUCAUGGUGAUACCUGGAACAGAACCCACUCUGGAAAGAUGUCAGCUCUUUAGGGAAUGUGGCUCAACUUUGGCAGCAAAUGAAAGGCAUGAAGUUGGUCACGGAAGGCGCUUGGCCAGUGAGGGCUCUCCAGCAUGAAGGCUAAUUUGCAGAAGUAAUAAAAUAGCUAAUUCAUUUAUCAGGAA